RNAcentral lists this ribosomal RNA (253 nucleotides) under uncultured bacterium. RNAcentral describes it as "partial 16S ribosomal RNA". It matches the Rfam family "Bacterial small subunit ribosomal RNA", at positions 524 to 776 of the family's 1533-position model. The record is from RNAcentral.
UACAGGGGGUGCAAACGUUGCUCGGAAUUAUUGGGCGUAAAGCGCGCGUAGGCGGCUACCUAAGUCGGAUGUGAAAGCCCCUGGCUUAACUGGGGAAGUGCACCCGAAACUGGGUAGCUAGAGUGCAAAAGAGGGUCGCGGAAUUCCCGGUGUAGAGGUGAAAUUCGUAGAUAUCGGGAGGAACACCGGUGGCGAAGGCAGGUCUCUGGGCUGACACUGACGCUCAUGCACGAAAGCGUGGGGAGCAAACAGG